GGACCUCCAAUCAAGCAGGGCUACCCGCUGAAUUUAAGCAUAUAACUAAGCGGAGGAAAAGAAACUAACCAGGAUUCCCUCAGUAACGGCGAGUGAAGCGGGAACAGCUCACCAUGAGAAUCUGAAAGGUUUUUCCUUUCCGAGUUGUAGUCUCUAGAAGCGCAGCCAGCAGACGGAGAGGGUUAAGUCCCUUGGAACAGGGCGCCUGAGAGGGUGACAGUCCCGUUCAUACUCUCUCCAUUCUGCGUACGGCGUGCUCUCAGUGAGUCGAGUUGCUUGGGAUUGCAGCUCAAAGUGGGUGGUAAAUUCCAUCUAAGGCUAAAUAUGGGUGGGAGACCGAUAGCGAACAAGUACUGUGAAGGAAAGAUGCAAAGAACUUUGAAAAGAGAGUUAAAGAGUGCCUGAAAUUGCUGAAAGGGAAGGAAAGGAAGUCAGUGUGAUU
RNAcentral lists this ribosomal RNA (442 nucleotides) under Eustigmatos sp. Its description in RNAcentral is "eukaryotic LSU rRNA". It matches the Rfam family "Eukaryotic large subunit ribosomal RNA", at positions 1 to 439 of the family's 3401-position model. Lineage: Eukaryota; Eustigmatophyceae; Eustigmatales; Eustigmataceae. The record is from RNAcentral.